CCUACGGGUGGCAGCAGUGGGGAAUAUUGGACAAUGGGCGAAAGCCUGAUCCAGCCAUGCCGCGUGUGUGAAGAAGGCCUUCGGGUUGUAAAGCACUUUCAGUGGGGAAGAAAGCCUUGGGGCUAAUACCCUCGAGGAAGGACAUCACCCACAGAAGAAGCACCGGCUAACUCCGUGCCAGCAGCCGCGGUAAUACGGAGGGUGCGAGCGUUAAUCGGAAUUACUGGGCGUAAAGCGCGCGUAGGCGGUCUGAUAAGCCGGUUGUGAAAGCCCCGGGCUCAACCUGGGAACGGCAUCCGGAACUGUCAGGCUAGAGUGCAGGAGAGGAAGGUAGAAGUCCCGGUGUAGCGGUGAAAUGCGUAGAGAUCGGGAGGAAUACCAGUGGCGAAGGCGGCCUUCUGGACUGACACUGACGCUGAGGUGCGAAAGCGUGGGUAGCAAACAGGAUUAGAUACCCAGUAGUC
This 464-nucleotide ribosomal RNA is filed under the name Vreelandella stevensii. RNAcentral describes it as "partial 16S ribosomal RNA". It matches the Rfam family "Bacterial small subunit ribosomal RNA", at positions 338 to 795 of the family's 1533-position model. The record is from RNAcentral. Lineage: Bacteria; Pseudomonadati; Pseudomonadota; Gammaproteobacteria; Oceanospirillales; Halomonadaceae.